Long non-coding RNA from Gossypium arboreum, 942 nucleotides. RefSeq lists it as uncharacterized. The transcript is spliced from 2 exons. The record is from RefSeq and is a predicted model, not a curated record. NCBI's taxonomy places the organism in Eukaryota, Viridiplantae, Streptophyta, Magnoliopsida, Malvales, Malvaceae.
CCACCCAACAUGAACACUCUCUCUUCUCAUGCUUCCUUUCUCUUGUCUUGUCUUUUUCACCUCCUCAAACUCAUCUCCCAAUGCCAUGCCUUGAUAACCAGAGAUCUCCUCUGCUGCAAUUGCAAUAUCAUCUUUACUAAGCCCCUAAUUUUACUUUAUCUUCCAAAUUCAAGCUUUGGGAUCCUAUCACUGAUUGUUGCUCUUGGGAAGGAGUCACUUGUGAUGCUUAUGGUCAUGUCAUUGGUCUUGAUCCUAGUUACAAAAAUCUUUCAGGCAGCUUUCACCCCAUAUUCAAUCUCCAUCGUCUUCAGUGCCUUAAUCUUGCUGGGAACAACAUUAAUACCACACUGUUUCCAUAUGGGUUUGAUAAACUCCAAAAUCUAACUCAUCUCAACCUUUCAAGCUCAUGUUUCCACGGCCAAAUUCCAAUGAAGAUCUCACACUUAAGAAGAGUUUGAAGGCAAUGGCAAAGAUGACUAAUGACGAAAAGGCUAAGCUGGAUUAUAUAGGAGAGAAUUAUUAUCAAGACUCUGUGACAAUUGUUAACAAAGGGAUUGAAAUGUUCUACCAAAAAGUCUUGACAAUUCUUACUUGUCUUGACCUUUUGUUCAAAAGUGGCAACUACAGCAGCAACAUGUAUGCUACCAUGCAAUCAUGCACGAGCAUACAAGUGACCAAGCAGUCCAGCUGAGGGAUUGAAAUGUCCAUGGUGUAAUUCGGUUGAAGAACUAUUUUUGUAAUAAUUGACUUUUAUUAGUUUGUUUGUUAUCCUUUUAUGUAAUGUUCAGCUAAGAUUAAUCAUAUUCUUAGCUGAUUUAGUAGUCAUCUUAGGUUGUCAUUAUAUUGAUUUUACAGCUUAGCUACUUGCACAAGCAAGCCUUGUUUUCUUUCAAUGUAAUCUAUCUAUUUAUGUAUCAUGAAAUUUUACUUUUCAAGUAACAA